Schizosaccharomyces pombe (fission yeast) is the source of this 287-nucleotide non-coding RNA. NCBI's taxonomy places the organism in Eukaryota, Fungi, Ascomycota, Schizosaccharomycetes, Schizosaccharomycetales, Schizosaccharomycetaceae. The record is from the annotation of a GenBank genome assembly.
UAGCUUGUGAGUAACCUGAAAAGCCAUCCCGGAUCAUUCACAAGAUGAACCGUUUGGAAGGAUACUUGAUUGCAAUGCCUGCACACCUUGUUACGUUUAUUGGCAUCUAUAAUAAUCUGAUUUUCGUAUGAAUGUGGAGUAUUAAAGUGUUUAUAGUUUUGUAUGCUUAAUUUUAGUCCGUAUAAUUCUAGCUAGCACAAAAAUAAAGCCAAAAAAUAUUUGAAAAGAUCCGCGUCGACUUUAAACGAUUAAUUAGACAGAAAAUAUCAAAAUCGUUGAUUUUUAUA